Molecule: ribosomal RNA, 229 nt
Filed under: uncultured bacterium
Lineage: Bacteria
Description: partial 16S ribosomal RNA
Rfam family: Bacterial small subunit ribosomal RNA
Source: RNAcentral
UGCGCAGGCGGGUUUGUAAGUCAGUGGUGAAAUACUGCCGCUUAACGGUAGAACUGCCAUUGAUACUGCGAAUCUUGAGUAUGGUUGAGGUAGGCGGAAUGUGUAGUGUAGCGGUGAAAUGCAUAGAUAUUACACAGAACUCCGAUUGCGAAGGCAGCUUACUAAGCCAUAACUGACGCUGAGGCACGAAAGCGUGGGGAGCGAACAGGAUUAGAUACCCUGGUAGUCC